Molecule: small RNA, 21 nt
Filed under: Vibrio cholerae O1 biovar El Tor str. N16961
Lineage: Bacteria; Pseudomonadati; Pseudomonadota; Gammaproteobacteria; Vibrionales; Vibrionaceae
Source: RNAcentral
AAGCAUCAUCUCAGUGAGUCA